This 1910-nucleotide long non-coding RNA is filed under the name Nicotiana benthamiana. RNAcentral's name for it is "long non-coding RNA (NBEN_LNC013073)". Lineage: Eukaryota; Viridiplantae; Streptophyta; Magnoliopsida; Solanales; Solanaceae. The record is from RNAcentral.
UUAGCUUUAAUCGGUCGAGUAGCUUAUUCGAACGUUGUGAAGUUAUUUUCCAUUAAGAAAAUAGCCUCUUAUAUUGGGUAUGUUUAACACUAUUGAGGGGUAAGUGCACGAUUAGUCACUAAUAAUACAUGUAUUUACUUUUAAGCCUUUGUUUAAAAUAUUUUUAGUCUUUAGCCACUACUUUAAUAAACUUUAACUGCCCGGACGAAAAUAUCCUUCUGCUCAUGUCCUUAACUUUUGAACUUAACUUCAGGAUUACAUGUACUUAACUUUUGAACUUGGAACUCUAAGUUAAAGGACUUCAUGACUAUAUGUCCUUAACUGAAAAUCUAAGUGAGGACUUCAAGACUACAUGUCAUUAACUUUUGAACUUGUAACUCUAAAUUUAAGACUUCAGGACUACAUGUCCUUAACUUUUGAACUUGAAACUCAAACUUCAGGACCAAGCGUCUUUAACUUUUGAACUUGUAAGUCAAAGUUAAGGACAUCUUGUAACUGUAAGUUAAGGACUAUCUGUUCUUAAUUUUUGAACUUGUUAGUCAAAGUUCAGGACCAAGUGUCCAUAACUUUUGAGCUUAUAAGUCUAAGUUCAUGACCAAGUGUCCUUAACUUUUGAACUUGGAAUUCAUUAAGGACUAAGUAUCCUUAACUUUUGGAACUUGUAAGUCAAAGUUCAGGACCAAGUGUCCUUAACUUUUGAACUUGGAACUCAAAGUUAAAGACCAAGUGUCCUUAACUUUUGAACUUGGAAUUCAAAGUUAAGGACCUAUUAUCCUGAACUUUGAAUUUGGAACUCAAACUUCAAAACCUAUUGUCCUUAACUUUUAAACUUAGUAACUAUAAGUUCAGGAUCUACAAUCCUUAACUUUUGAGCUUGUUAGUCUAAGUUCAAGACCAAGUGUUCUUAACUUUUGAACUUAUAACUCUAAGUUAAGGACUGUCUAUUCUUAAUUUUUAUGCUUGUAACUCUAAGUUAAGGACCAAAUGUCCUUAAUUCUAGAACUUCCAACUCUAAGUUCAAGACCCACAUAAACGAAGAAUAGAAUUGAUUCAUUGAAAUAUGAAAACUCAAUUGGUAUUCUUGCAACUAAUCUUCCACUUCCAAAAAACAGCAUAAAACUAUUAAUUCACUCCACAAAGUGUCUUCAAAACUUCUUUUAACAAAUACCCCAUUUGCAUUAAUUUUUGUUUGUGAAUAUCUCAAAUAGAGAAAAGAGAACCACUUGUUUGUGUUUUACUUUUCCUUUUCUUGUAUUUUUCGGCAAAAAAUUAUAGAUUAAAAACUAACUUCCUUUGCAAGAGUCAUGCUCAGCUUGUUUAGUUCUUAAUCAAGAAACCAGAGCCAAUGUAUUUGAUGCAGAGUGAGAAGCGAGGGUUUGAGAAGAAAAAUAAUGGAAGAAAGGGUAAAAAUAUCUUUUCAUAUUAAUUUUAAUAGAGUAGUGAUUAUUUUUUCUCAUCAUUAGAAUUGCUGUAUAAAAAAUAAAUACCUCCUUAAAGAGUGGUUACCCGUGCCCUUUUUAUCACUAUUGAUUUCAUUAAUGUUUAUCAAAAGCUUAUAACAAAAAGGGUUUCCUCGAUCAUAAAAGAAAAAAAGAAAAAGCAGACAGGAAGAGUUUGAUUCUUUAAACAAGCAGGUUUUGGUUUCUUUUUUAGCACCCUAAUUCUCUACUUGACUUUGAUACCAUAAAAUAAAAUAGAAAAAAGAACCUUCAAAAAAAUAAAUAAUUAAAACCAUUUUCAAGAGACAAACUCCAAUGAACCCCUUUCCUCCCAUUCAUUACUUUUUAUCAAAAAUUUGAGAGAAAAAGAUUCAACUAAAUACAUCACCAAAUUACCAUCAAAUCCUAAAGAAUGCAACAUCAAAAUCUGAAUCAUACAAAAAUAACAUAAAUUGCACCAUUAAAUUUGCC